AUAAACGCUGGCGGCGUGCCUUAGGCAUGCAAGUCGAAUGGUCCAACGCAAGUUGGGCAAUGGCGGACGGGUGAGUACAAGUAAGGUAUCUACCUCAAAGUGAAGGACAUCUCGUCGAAAGACGGGGUAAUCCUGCAUAUUAUCGCAAGAUCAAAGGGCGUAACUGCCCGCUUUGAGAGGAGCCUUACACUUAUCAGCUAGUUGGUAGGGUAAUGGCCUACCAAGGCUUUGACGAGUAGGGGACGUGAGAGCGUGUACCCCCACAAUGGCGCUGAGAUACGGGCCAUACACCUACGGGUGGCAGCAACCGGGAAUCGUCGGCAAUGGACGAAAGUCUGACCGCGCGACGCCGCGUGAGGGAUGAAGUCUUUCGGGAUGUAAACCUCUUUUGCCCCGUCAUCACGACGGGGAGAAUAAGCGCCUACUAACUACGU
Molecule: ribosomal RNA, 434 nt
Filed under: uncultured bacterium
Lineage: Bacteria
Description: bacterial SSU rRNA
Rfam family: Bacterial small subunit ribosomal RNA
Source: RNAcentral